RNAcentral lists this ribosomal RNA (700 nucleotides) under uncultured Alphaproteobacteria bacterium. RNAcentral's name for it is "bacterial SSU rRNA". It matches the Rfam family "Bacterial small subunit ribosomal RNA", at positions 94 to 829 of the family's 1533-position model. Lineage: Bacteria; Pseudomonadati; Pseudomonadota; Alphaproteobacteria. The record is from RNAcentral.
AGCGGCGGACGGGUUAGUAACGCGUGGGAACGUACCCAGAUCUACGGAAUAGCCUCGGGAAACUGAGAGUAAUACCGUAUACGCCCUUCGGGGGAAAGAUUUAUCGGAUUUGGAUCGGCCCGCGUAAGAUUAGAUAGUUGGUGGGGUAAUGGCCUACCAAGUCUACGAUCUUUAGCUGGUUUGAGAGGAUGAUCAGCAACACUGGGACUGAGACACGGCCCAGACUCCUACGGGAGGCAGCAGUGGGGAAUCUUAGACAAUGGGCGCAAGCCUGACCUAGCGAUGCCGCGUGAGUGAUGAAGGCCUUAGGGUCGUAAAGCUCUUUCGCCUGUGAAGAUAAUGACGGUAGCAGGUAAAGAAACCCCGGCUAACUCCGUGCCAGCAGCCGCGGUAAUACGGAGGGGGUUAGCGUUGUUCGGAAUUACUGGGCGUAAAGCGCACGUAGGCGGACUAGUCAGUCAGAGGUGAAAUCCCAGGGCUCAACCCUGGAACUGCCUUUGAUACUGCUAGUCUUGAGUUCGAGAGAGGUAAGUGGAAUUCCGAGUGUAGAGGUGAAAUUCGUAGAUAUUCGGAGGAACACCAGUGGCGAAGGCGGCUUACUGGCUCGAUACUGACGCUGAGGUGCGAAAGUGUGGGGAGCAAACAGGAUUAGAUACCCUGGUAGUCCACACCGUAAACGAUGAAUGCCAGACGUCGGGUA